This 508-nucleotide ribosomal RNA is filed under the name uncultured bacterium. Its description in RNAcentral is "partial 16S ribosomal RNA". It matches the Rfam family "Bacterial small subunit ribosomal RNA", at positions 28 to 523 of the family's 1533-position model. The record is from RNAcentral.
GAUGAACGCUAGCUACAGGCUUAACACAUGCAAGUCGAGGGGCAGCAUGGUCUUAGCUUGCUAAGGCUGAUGGCGACCGGCGCACGGGUGAGUAACACGUAUCCAACCUGCCGUCUACACUUGGCCAGCCUUCUGAAAGGAAGAUUAAUCCAGGAUGGGAUCAUGAUCUCACAUGUCCGCAUGAUUAAAGGUAUUUUCCGGUAGACGAUGGGGAUGCGUUACAUUAGAUAGUAGGCGGGGUAACGGCCCACCUAGUCAACGAUGGAUAGGGGUUCUGAGAGGAAGGUCCCCCACAUUGGAACUGAGACACGUUCCAAACUCGUACGGGAGGCAGCAGUGAGGAAUAUUGGGCAAUGGGCGAUGGCCUGAACCAGCCAAGUAGCGUGAAGGAUGACUGCCCUAUGGGUUGUAAACUUCUUUUAUAAAGGAAUAAAGUCGGGUAUGCAUACCCGUUUGCAUGUACUUUAUGAAUAAGGAUCGGCUAACUCCGUGCCAGCCGCCGCCGAAA